CCUACGGGCGGCAGCAGUGAGGAAUAUUGGUCAAUGGGCGCGAGCCUGAACCAGCCAAGCAGCGUGAAGGAUGACUGCUCUACGGGUUGUAAACUUCUUUUAUAAAGGAAUAAAGUGAGGCACUUGUGCCUUUUUGUAUGUACUUUAUGAAUAAGGAUCGGCUAACUCCGUUCCAGCAGCCGCGGUAAUACGGGGGAUCAGAGCGUUAUCGGGAUUUAUUGGGUUUAAAGGGAGCGUAGGUGGGCUGUUAAGUCAGCGGUAAAAGCCCGGGGCUCAACCCCGGCGAGCCGUUGAAACUGGCUGUCUUGAGAUGUCGAGAGGUAUGCGGAAUGCGGAGUGUAGCGGUGAAAUGCGUAGAUAUAGCGCAGAACUCCGGUUGCGAAGGCAGCAUACCGGCGGCGAUCUGACGCUGAGGCACGAAAGCGUGGGUAUCGAACAGGAUUAGAUACCCUAGUAGUC
Molecule: ribosomal RNA, 459 nt
Filed under: uncultured bacterium
Lineage: Bacteria
Description: partial 16S ribosomal RNA
Rfam family: Bacterial small subunit ribosomal RNA
Source: RNAcentral